CUUGUGACUGAGCGGCGGACGGGUGAGUAACGCGUGGGCAACCUGCCUUACACAGGGGGAUAACAGUUAGAAAUGACUGCUAAUACCGCAUAAGACCACAAAACCGCAUGGUUUGGUGGUAAAAACUCCGGUGGUGUAAGAUGGGCCCGCGUCUGAUUAGGUAGUUGGUGGGGUAACGGCCUACCAAGCCGACGAUCAGUAGCCGACCUGAGAGGGUGACCGGCCACAUUGGGACUGAGACACGGCCCAGACUCCUACGGAAGGCAGCAG
Molecule: ribosomal RNA, 270 nt
Filed under: uncultured bacterium
Lineage: Bacteria
Description: partial 16S ribosomal RNA
Rfam family: Bacterial small subunit ribosomal RNA
Source: RNAcentral